RNAcentral lists this ribosomal RNA (462 nucleotides) under uncultured Glomus. RNAcentral's name for it is "SSU rRNA". It matches the Rfam family "Eukaryotic small subunit ribosomal RNA", at positions 627 to 1092 of the family's 1831-position model. Lineage: Eukaryota; Fungi; Glomeromycota; Glomeromycetes; Glomerales; Glomeraceae. The record is from RNAcentral.
CUCGUAGUUGAAUUUCGGGACCAUCAUGUCGGUCGUGCCUCGGUACGUACUGGUAUUGUUGGUUUCUCCCUUCUGACGAACCAUGAUGUCAUUUAUUUGGUGUUGUGGGGAAUCAGGACUGUUACUUUGAAAAAAUUAGAGUGUUUAAAGCAGGCUCACGCUUGAAUACAUUAGCAUGGAAUAAUGAAAUAGGACGUUUGAUUCUAUUUUGUUGGUUUCUAGGAUCGACGUAAUGAUUAAUAGGGAUAUUGGGGGCAUUAGUAUUCAAUUGUCAGAGGUGAAAUUCUUGGAUUUAUUGAAGACUAACUACUGCGAAAGCAUUUGCCAAGGAUGUUUUCAUUAAUCAAGAACGAAAGUUAGGGGAUCGAAGACGAUCAGAUACCGUCGUAGUCUUAACCAUAAACUAUGCCGACUAGGGAUCGGAUGAUGUUAAUUUUUUAAUGACUCAUUCGGCGCCUUACG